GUGCCAGCAGCCGCGGUAAUACGUAGGGUGCAAGCGUUAAUCGGAAUUACUGGGCGUAAAGCGUGCGCAGGCGGUGAUGUAAGACAGUUGUGAAAUCCCCGGGCUCAACCUGGGAACUGCAUCUGUGACUGCAUCGCUGGAGUACGGCAGAGGGGGAUGGAAUUCCGCGUGUAGCAGUGAAAUGCGUAGAUAUGCGGAGGAACACCGAUGGCGAAGGCAAUCCCCUGGGCCUGUACUGACGCUCAUGCACGAAAGCGUGGGGAGCAAACAGGAUUAGAUA
Molecule: ribosomal RNA, 280 nt
Filed under: uncultured Burkholderiales bacterium
Lineage: Bacteria; Pseudomonadati; Pseudomonadota; Betaproteobacteria; Burkholderiales
Description: partial 16S ribosomal RNA
Rfam family: Bacterial small subunit ribosomal RNA
Source: RNAcentral